RNAcentral lists this ribosomal RNA (400 nucleotides) under uncultured bacterium. RNAcentral's name for it is "bacterial SSU rRNA". It matches the Rfam family "Bacterial small subunit ribosomal RNA", at positions 355 to 747 of the family's 1533-position model. The record is from RNAcentral.
UGGGGAAUAUUGCGCAAUGGAGGAAACUCUGACGCAGCGACGCCGCGUGGGUGAUGAAGGCCUUCGGGUUGUAAAGCCCUGUCGGCUGGGAAAAAGGUAGACGUGCUAAUACCACGUUUGCUUGAUGGUACCAGCAAAGGAAGCACCGGCUAACUCUGUGCCAGCAGCCGCGGUAAUACAGAGGGUGCUAGCGUUGUUCGGAUUUACUGGGCGUAAAGGGCGCGUAGGCGGUUUAGAAAGUCAGAUGUGAAAGCCCGGGGCUUAACUCCGGAAGUGCAUUUGAAACUUCUAGGCUAGAGUACAGUAGAGGUUGGUGGAAUUCCCAGUGUAGAGGUGAAAUUCGUAGAUAUUGGGAGGAACACCAGUGGCGAAGGCGGCCAACUGGGCUGUAACUGACGCU